ACCAGAGAUUCAGUGAAAUUGUAGUGGAGGUGAAAAUUCCUCCUACCCGCGGCAAGACGGAAAGACCCCGUGGACCUUUACUACAACUUAGCACUGCUAACGGGAAUAUCAUGCGCAGGAUAGGUGGGAGGCUUUGAAGUAAGGGCUUUGGCUCUUAUGGAGCCAUCCUUGAGAUACCACUCUUGAUGUUUCUGUUAGCUA
RNAcentral lists this ribosomal RNA (201 nucleotides) under Helicobacter pylori. Its description in RNAcentral is "partial 23S ribosomal RNA". It matches the Rfam family "Bacterial large subunit ribosomal RNA", at positions 2024 to 2224 of the family's 2925-position model. The record is from RNAcentral. Lineage: Bacteria; Pseudomonadati; Campylobacterota; Epsilonproteobacteria; Campylobacterales; Helicobacteraceae.